Molecule: ribosomal RNA, 242 nt
Filed under: Listeria monocytogenes
Lineage: Bacteria; Bacillati; Bacillota; Bacilli; Caryophanales; Listeriaceae
Description: partial 23S ribosomal RNA
Rfam family: Bacterial large subunit ribosomal RNA
Source: RNAcentral
CCCUGGCUGUAUGACCAUUCUAACCCGCCACGCUUAGCGCGUGGGGAGACAGUGUCAGGUGGGCAGUUUGACUGGGGCGGUCGCCUCCUAAAGAGUAACGGAGGCGCCCAAAGGUUCCCUCAGAAUGGAUGGAAAUCAUUCGCAGAGUGUAAAGGCACAAGGGAGCUUGACUGCGAGACUGACAAGUCGAGCAGGGACGAAAGUCGGGCUUAGUGAUCCGGUGGUUCCGCAUGGAAGGGCCA